RNAcentral lists this long non-coding RNA (2002 nucleotides) under Gallus gallus (chicken). RNAcentral describes it as "lncRNA (ENSGALG00010019503.1)". The record is from RNAcentral. Lineage: Eukaryota; Metazoa; Chordata; Aves; Galliformes; Phasianidae.
AUCUUACUGGAGAUCCCUGUGUACUAGAGGCCUUCUGAAAAGGAGCCUUCUGUGCUGUGUUUGCCAGGAUUUUUUUGGAAGCUGCUUUUUGAAGAUUUGUGUGUCUUCUGCACAGCACAUGGUGCAGUUGAAAAAACAAAAGAAAUCAAGCCUACAGAAACAGUUUUAUGAGGGGUGGGAAAAUUUAGUUGUGUUUAAAGUGACAAAUAGUGCAUGUAAUUCAGCACCUCUGAGAGCUUUAAUUAAUGAUUUGCCAUUAGCUCCUUAAUGUGCAUGUAUCAUAAGAAUGUACUCCUGUUCUUUUGGAUUGUUGUGCUAAGAUUGAGGUUGAUUUUUCCCUGCAUGCCACAGAGGUGAAUUUAUGAAGGCGCAAAAUUGAACUGUGAGGAGACAACAAAAUGGCAUGCUAGUUUCACCCACAUUGUGAAUAUCAACCUUUUAUUGUUUUGAAGAAGUAUUAGUCAAAGAUAUUAAUGUACAUCAUGUAUUUGGAUUAUUCCUUUUUGUUCUGAACUUAGGCAGUUCCCUCUGUCAUCCUUCCCCUCUCCCCUCUCAGCUGCUUUAAUGAUGGUCUUUCUGCGUUUCGGGCAGGAUAUGCCAUCCUUUUUCUUGUAGCAGAUUAAUAUUGUUGCUCCACACAGACCCACUAUAGAGUGUGAAAUACUUCAAAGAGUGGUAUGCAGAAAUAAUCAGUAGGUUUGUAAAUAUUUUCUACAACUUAAAAAUGCCUCAUUGCCAUGCUGGAUAUGGUCACUUGAAGUGAUACAUAUUUUUCAGGCUAUGAAGAUUAGCCUUAUUUUCAAAUAAACAGAAGAGGUAUGUGAAGAUGGCUGAAUUCGUUAAGCCAAAAUGUUCAGUGAGUGGUUAGCAGCCAUUAUUUAGGGAAAUGCAGGCUUUAACCUAGCUUGAUAUCUUAGUAUAACACUUAACCUAUGCCUUCUCUAUUAUUAAACACUCAAAUCUAGGUUAACUGUGCUGCUUAGUGAGCACGAGCUGCUGAAGAGUGUUCAUUUCCUUGCUCUUUUGAAAUAUUCUCUUGAGGGAGAAUAAGCAGUAUUUAAAACAAAACUCAGCAACCUUACCUGACCCUGAGUUAUUCCUGGGACAGCCUAGAUAGUGACUACUGAUGAUUCUGUGUCUGCCAAUUUAAAAAUACAGGUUUCAUCGACCUUGUUUUGAUUGUAUUGAGCAGCACACACCACACUCCUUCUGUGUGAGAGAGGUAGAGAGGAGAAAGCAUAAAAAAGAUGCCAAUCCAAAGGUGCUGAUUAAAAUAAAAUCCUUUGGAGAACUGCUGUAACUAAAUCAAGUAAUUGUAUUGUAUUUUGUCAAGUAUUUGUAUUGUAUUAUCCGUAUUGUAAUUUUGCCAAGUGCUGGACCUCCUCAACAGGGUAGCACAAGGGACUGAGUUGCCUUCAGCUGGAAAAACUGAUGAAAUAUACUUCAAAACAGUUAACUAAAGAGUGACUUCGCUGUUGUUUUCCCCAAGCACUCUAAGUAAUCAAGUGCACUCGUGUUACCAUUAUGGUUCCAGCAGUGUUGUGCAGCAACGUGUAGUGGGUCCAUUUUCUCAUGUGCAGAUUGUCUGUAAUGCUAUAAACUAGAUUAUCACAGCAUUUGCCAGUGCCCUGCAUUCUCAAAAUGCCCAUCCAUCCUUCAGACAUCUGCAAUCAGCCAACUGCUAUGGACUUGGCCAGCCAAUGCUGCUUGGCAAAUAGAAAGGCGGUCUCAUUAAAGAUCGUUUGAUUUAACAUACCUACUCAGAGAAGUGGAUGACUAUUCAUUUACCUUGUGAGAUAUAAAGACUAAUAUUUCAACGGAUUGUGAUUUGAGCUUGGAAUGACAGCGUGGCCAAUUCUGUUGUUGCUUUUUUUCCAGAAGCAAUUUAAAGUGAAAGUUAGUCUUUUUGUAAGUUUAGUUGUUUCAAAACUACAUGCACUCAUUUUACAAACCAUUUUAACCAUUCGCAUUCAUAUGAAUAAACAUCUUUCAUAUUAACAAU